Molecule: ribosomal RNA, 253 nt
Filed under: uncultured bacterium
Lineage: Bacteria
Description: partial 16S ribosomal RNA
Rfam family: Bacterial small subunit ribosomal RNA
Source: RNAcentral
AACGUAGGAGACAAACGUUAUCCGGAGUUACUGGGCGUAAAGCGUGCGUAGGUGGUGAGUUAAGUCUGUCGUGAAAGCCCCGGGCUCAACCUGGGAAUGGCGAUGGAUACUGGCUCGCUAGAGUGCGGUAGAGGAGAGUGGAAUUCCCGGUGUAGCAGUGAAAUGCGUAGAGAUCGGGAGGAACAUCAGUUGCGAAGGCGGCUCUCUGGACCAGCACUGACACUGAGGCACGAAAGCGUGGGGAGCAAACAGG